UAAUACAUGCAAGUCGAACGAAGUAGCAAUACUUAGUGGCAGACGGGUGAGUAACAUGUGGGUAUCUUCCCUUUGGUGAGGAAUAACACGAGGAAACUUGUGCUAAUACCUCAUAAGUCUUUACGGAGAAAGCUUUAUGCGCCAUUGGAUGAGCCCGCACUUGAUUAGUUUGUUGGUGGGGUAAUGGCCUACCAAGACUGUGAUCAAUAGCUGAUUUGAGAGGAUGAUCAGCCACAUUGGGACUGAGACACGGCCCAAACUCCUACGGGAGGCAGCAGUAGGGAAUCUUGCACAAUGGAGGAAACUCUGAUGCAGCGAUGCCGCGUGAGUGAAGAAGGCCUUUGGGUUGUAAAGCUCUUUCGUCGGGGAAGAAAAUGACUGUACCCGAAUAAGAAGGUCCGGCUAACUUCGUGCCAGCAGCCGCGGUAAUACGAAGGGACCUAGCGUAGUUCGGAAUUACUGGGCUUAAAGAGUUCGUAGGUGGUUAAAAUAGUUGGUGGUGAAAUCCCAGAGCUUAACUCUGGAACUGCCAUCAAAACUUUUUAGCUAGAGUAUGAUAGAGGAAAGCAGAAUUUCUAGUGUAGAGGUGAAAUUCGUAGAUAUUAGAAAGAAUACCGAUUGCAAAGGCAGCUUUCUGGAUCAUUACUGACACUGAGGAACGAAAGCAUGGGUAGCGAAGAGGAUUAGAUACCCUCGUAGUCCAUGCCGUAAACGAUGUGUGUUAGACGUUGGAAAUUUAUUUUCAGUGUCGCAGCGAAAGCGAUAAACACACCGCCUGGGGAGUACGACCGCAAGGUUAAAACUCAAAUGAAUUGACGGGGACCCGCACAAGUAGUGGAGCAUGUGGUUUAAUUCGAAGAUACGCGCAGAACCUUACCAACACUUGACAUGUUCGUCGCGACUCUAAGAGAUUAGAGUUUUCGGUUCGGCCGGACGAAACACAGGUGCUGCAUGGCUGUCGUCAGCUCGUGUCGUGAGAUGUUGGGGUUAAGUCCCGCAACGAGCGCAACCCUCACUUUUAGUUGCCAUCAUUAAGUUGGGGCACUCUGAAAGAACUGCCAGUGAUAAGCUGGAGGAAGGUGGGGAUGACGUCAAGUCCUCAUGGCCCUUACGUGUUGGGCUACACACGUGCUACAAUGGCAUCUACAACAGGAAGCAAAACGGCAACGUUAAGCAAAUCCCGAAAAGAUGCCUCAGUUCGGAUUGCGCUCUGCAACUCGAGUGCAUGAAGCUGGAAUUACUAGUAAUCGCGGAUCAGCGCGCCGCGGUGAAUACGUUCCCGGGUCUUGUACACACCGCCCGUCACACCAUGGGAGUUGGUUCUACCUUAAGGCAAAGUUUAAAACCUUUGACCACGGUAUAGUCAGCGACUGGGGUG
This 1378-nucleotide ribosomal RNA is filed under the name uncultured Pelagibacterales bacterium. Its description in RNAcentral is "bacterial SSU rRNA". It matches the Rfam family "Bacterial small subunit ribosomal RNA". Lineage: Bacteria; Pseudomonadati; Pseudomonadota; Alphaproteobacteria; Candidatus Pelagibacterales. The record is from RNAcentral.